This 279-nucleotide ribosomal RNA is filed under the name uncultured bacterium. RNAcentral's name for it is "partial 16S ribosomal RNA". It matches the Rfam family "Bacterial small subunit ribosomal RNA", at positions 506 to 784 of the family's 1533-position model. The record is from RNAcentral.
UGCCAGCAGCCGCGGUAAUACGGAGGGGGCUAGCGUUGUUCGGAAUUACUGGGCGUAAAGCGGGUGUAGGCGGACCGGCCAGUCGGGGGUGAAAGCCCAGGGCUCAACCCUGGAAUAGCCUUCGAUACUUCCGGUCUAGAGUGUGGGAGAGGUGAGCGGAAUUCCGAGUGUAGAGGUGAAAUUCGUAGAUAUUCAGAGGAACACCAGAGGCGAAGGCGGCUCACUGGCUCGAUACUGACGCUGAGGUGCGAAAGUGUGGGGAGCAAACAGGAUUAGAUG